Molecule: ribosomal RNA, 321 nt
Filed under: Triticum aestivum (bread wheat)
Lineage: Eukaryota; Viridiplantae; Streptophyta; Magnoliopsida; Poales; Poaceae
Description: partial small subunit ribosomal RNA
Source: RNAcentral
AUGACUAAGUAACAGGCAUUGGCUGCAACAUUGUUGCUUGUCAUGGUGUUUCUCCUAGCCGCACUAGAGGGUGUUCAUGGCGUCUGUGGCAUGUCGAAUGAUGAAUUCAAACUUUGCCAACCCGCAGCGGCAGUGAAUAACCCGACGGACAGCCCAUCGGCUGAGUGUUGUGCCGCGCUUGGGAAGGCCAACCUAUCAUACAUUUGCCACUACAAAGGCAUCGCCGGUAUAUGGCUGAGAAUGUACCACAUCGACGCAAACCACGCCAUGGUGCUGCCCGGCAAGUGCGUUCUCAUCUUGCCCAACAACUGCUCGUGAUGA